GGGGAAAAAGAUAUGUUUGAUAAAUAGAAAACUUUAAUGAGGGGAUUCGUUAUAAGCUCAAUAAAUAUUACUGAGCAUUCACUCUGUGUCCGGCACUGAAAGGAAAACAGAUAAAUCCAAGAGCUCAUAGUAUGUUGGGGGAAAUAUCUACAUGAAUUCACAUCACUGUCGUGUAAGGCCCAGAGUGCUCAGGGCCAUUAGAGGAGGCAAAUGGGACUCAGAAUCCAGAACAUCUGGAACAUGAAGGAGCUAUCCGGAGGAGGUUACGUGUUAGCUGGACUUUGAAGAACAACUACGAUGGAACACGAAGCCUUGACCGUGGGGCCGGGGAAGACGUACUUGUUGGAAGGUCAGCAUGAUCCAUCGUGUUUCCCCUCCUCAUCCUGCUCCUCCAAUCAAUAGAGACCAGGUACUGACAGCCUCAAAUGUGGAAAUGUCCGGGAUUUCUCCUGAGCCCUGAAGAGCCCUGGUGUCCCAACACCCCAGGAAUUGGACAGAGAAUUCUACAGUUGCCUUCGGUCUAGAUCGUGAUCUAGGAACGGAUGCACCGUAUCAAAAUACAAAAUCCGGAUGCUUACCUGUUGUUCUUUUCGGCCGCGCAAGGAAGGGCCUUGGGUCCUCCUAAAGCUGUCAGCCCUGCUGCCGGAUGAAGAGUGUGGCUGAGAGCCACAUCUGCUCGAAAGGGGAAUGGAGGGUUCAGGGGUGCACCCAGCAAAACAUCGUGAACGCCUGCCAGGAUGAGCUGCUGGCCAUCUGUAUUAGUUUCCUGGGGCUGCUGUGACAAAUGACCACAAACUUCGUGGCUUGAAAGAACAGAAAUAUGUUCUGUCACAGUCUUGGAGGCCAGAAGUCUGAAAUCAAGGUCGGCAGGGCCCUGCUCCCUCUGAAGGCUCUCGAGGAGAAUCCUUCCUUGCCCCUUCUAGCUUCCGGUGGCUCCAGGUGUUCCUCGGCUGUGUAGGCAUCCGCUCCAGUCUCUGCCUCCGUCUGCACGUGGCUUUCUCCUUUGUGUCUUUCCCUUCUCUCCCGUCUCGAAUCUCCGUCUGCCUUUCUCUCACAAGGAUGCCUGCCACAGUAAUCCAGGAUGAACUCAUCUCAAGAUCCCUGACUUAAUUACAUCAGCAAAGACCCCUUUUCCAAACAAGCUUUGUUCCCUUCAUUGCCCUCACUCCAGUGGCACCUCCAUCCACUCAGUUGCUCAAGCCCAAAACCCGGCAUCACCCUUGAUUAUGUUUUCCUAUUUCCGCACGUCAAAUCCGGCAGAAAGGACUGCGAGCUCUACCUCCUAAACAGACAGACGCAGAUACUCACCUGCUUUGAUCACUGACUGUGCCCAGAAAAGCGCCUGGCUCCUAAUGCAACUGAAUAUGUAUUUGUGGAAUAAAUGAGUGUAUAUUUUAGAAAAAUCACUCUGGUAACAAUUUGGAAAAUAGACUUGAAGGGAAGAAAUCCGUGCUUUUAGAAAGUUCUCUCUGGCUAGAUGGUGCAGUGUGGAUUGGACACAGAAACCCCACAGUCUCUUGGAACACCAAACCCUGCAGGCUGUUCGAUGAGGUGAAUUCCACAUGAUUAUAGCCUAGAAGUGGCUUGGAAGCUUUCUUCACUGAGUCCGACAGGGAAAGAGUUACCCCGAGCUAACAUCUGUUGCCAGUCUUCGUCUUUUUUAUCCCUCCCCAAAGCCCCAGUGCAUGGAUGUAUAUCCUUGUUGUAAGUCCUUCUGGUUCUCCUAUGUGAGCUACCACCACAGCAUGGCAACUGACAGACGGGUGGUGUGGCUCCAAGACCAGGAAACGAACCCGGGCCCCAAACUCAGGAUCUCAUGAAUGCAGCCUCUACUGGAAGACGUUGCACAAACGCAAUGUUCCUUGGGUGCUGAAUGUAUGUGAAUUUAUGGCGCAUGUAGUUUGCAUUUUCCUAUUAAACGGGGAACAUGUAAACAGGGCAGGUCUUCACUCAAAACAUUAUGAGACUUGCUCCAGUUUCUCCCUAACCAGAGGGUAAUUUUCUGGAAGUCAGGGCCACCUUGUGUCUCCAGAGACCAGAGGAGAGCUGAACUGAAGAGUCUGAGACAGAGCUGCAGCAAAGCCUCAGGAGCUUCCUCAGUUCUGUGCUUUUAUUAGAGAGCGGAACAGCGACCACCGUGUGGGCGGAGCAGGUCAGCUGGGACUACAUCCAAAGGAACGGCUCUGCUGCUCAAGACGUUACCAGAAUCCUAAGGUGCUGAGGGGAGGUUUCAGCGUGGCUAAAAUUCGGAAAUUGCUGAGUUCAUGCAGAAGAAUGAAGACUCAAGUCCACAGGUCCAGGGCUAGCAAGAGACGAAACCAGGGGUAGGGUCAAUGGCUUCAUAGCUGUGAGACCACUGAUACGUGCUCUUCCUUUGAAGGACGUCUUCAGCCUCAGCUGCUUUUAUCUUUUAGGUUUCUAUGGCGCAUCUCAUUGUCCUGAUCCUGAAAACGGGGAUUUGGGCACUUAAUGGGAGUUUCAUGCAGUGAAAACAUUUCUGAGUCCUCUAAGCAGAGGCACACCUUUGUUAAUGUCCAUGUCCUCAGUUAAGCCAGGGCCGGUUCCUCUAGUGGGACUGGAGGUUCAGUAAUGGGGACAAUAUCCACAGCAACCCUGGAAUACUGUAUUCCACAGGUGGCAGUGGGGGUUAUGGGAGAAAUGUCUUCUUAGGAAGAGUUUUUCCUCUCCAGGACAGGGCCAGAAAAUGAGGCCUCCAAUUAAUUAAGUUUAAGGAUUCUAAUUUAACAUUUGGGGGACACUGGUUCUUAAACAUGGAAUGGGACAAAGCACCGCAACAGUACAAGAAGCCUGUGCUCAUCAUGGAGCGUUGACAGCAUUAGAUAUUACUUUGGUCCAGGACCCAGGAAAACAUAAAUUCUGUCAUGCUCAGUCUCUUCUUUUCCUUAUUAUGUAUUUACAAAGAUAUAUGUUUACACAGAACAAAGGCAAAUUCACAUUUUAUUGUUAGCUGGGGUUGAGACCCAAUCCAAUGCAGAGAACGUUGGCUGCCGGGCUGGAGCACUUUCCUCCCCGUUUAGAACGCAAGAGCUUCAGUCAAGGGUCAAUCCAACAUGCUGGUUAACCCAAGGGCAAAGAUAAGCAGAGAGAAAGAGACUCUUCCACGUGCCACGCUGGCCUAAACGCCUGGACUGUUGCUGUUAAAUUGAUCCGUUUUUUAUUUUAUGUUUCACACCUUUUGUGUCCUGAGUAAAAAAUCUUUGCCUACUUUAAGGUCUCUAAGAUUUUCUCUUAUGUUUUCCUCCAGGAGUUUGGUAGUUUCGGUUUUAUGUUUUGUCCUAGGAUCUAUUUCAGGUUAGUUUUUGGUAUGAGGUGAGGUAAGGGUUGAGGUCCAUCUUUUCCCAUUUGAUAUCCAGUCUUUCCUGCAACAUGUGUUGAGGACUGUCCUUUCCUCACUGGAUUACCUUGGCACCUUUGUUGAAAAUCUGUGUGUGAACUAUCUAAUCUGUUCCAUUGAUCCGUUUGUCUAUCCUUACACCAAUAUCACACUGUCUGAAU
This 3516-nucleotide long non-coding RNA is filed under the name Equus caballus (horse). RNAcentral describes it as "lncRNA (ENSECAG00000059071.1)". Lineage: Eukaryota; Metazoa; Chordata; Mammalia; Perissodactyla; Equidae. The record is from RNAcentral.